AUGAAUAUGAUGCAACGUGGGUGCAACUGCACCAUCUGCAAGGCAGUACCACAAACAGAACAGUGAUACCGUUGUCAUGGCAGUGUUGAAUGAGCAAUAGAAAUAAAAAUCCAUAUUUCUCACCACUGGGCAUGAUGGAGACCACCAGUUUGGGAGAAGAGCCACAUACUGCGUUACCCUGCAUUUAAAAUGUUUACAAUUAUACAAAAGUGCCCACAUAAUGAAGGGUUUAGUCGAAUUACUGUAUAAUUUACCAGGGUAAAGGACUCUGCUGAUCAUGCCUGGGAACACCAUGAGGAACAUAGGCAGCAGUUUCAAGUAGCCGCACAAGAUGCAUCCAGCUUUGACAUGAGUCAGACUGCGGGCAGCUAAACAGCGCUGAACAAUGACCUACGCCACAGAGGAAGAGUAUAUGUCAUCCUGUUUGCUAAGAAGAGUUAGCAUAUGUGGAGAAAGGUUCUCUGAUCUCAUGAAAUCAAAAUGUUUUGUCCUUGGCAUAAAGUGGUACAUUUGGCAGAAACCCAACACUUCUCAUCACCCUGAGAACACCAUCCCUACAGUGAAGCAUGGUGGUGGAAGCAUCGUGCUGUGGUGAUUGCUUUAAAUCAGAAAGAACUGGGAAGCUGCUCAGGGUUGAGGGCAUUAUGGAUGAAACCAAACACAGUGCAAUCUGAGAAGAAACGCUUUCCCAGUCCUACAAGUGACUUUAAGCUGGAGUAGAGGUUCACGUUCCAGCAGGAUAACAACCCUCAGGAAACUGCCAAAGCUUCACUGGAGUGCUUCAAACCAAGAAACUGUGGCCCAGUCAAGGCCCAGACCACUAAUCUAAAAAUGUUAUGCUUAUACUGGUCCGGUCGGGUCUGAUUUGUCCGUGCUUAAAUGUUUAAUAUAUACUUUAUUCGUAUUUUAUUCAUGAAAUUGCUGUAAUGUUGGCACGGCUCACCUGGUCAGUGCACCAGUACCAUCCUCCUACAAUAGCGAUGCCAAAUAACACACCAGGCCAUGGCAGGUCUCCAUUCACAGGAUCCCUCAGCAGGUGGAAGGCGUCCUCACGCGG
Long non-coding RNA from Ictalurus punctatus (channel catfish), 1057 nucleotides. RefSeq lists it as uncharacterized. The transcript has 2 exons. The record is from RefSeq and is a predicted model, not a curated record. NCBI's taxonomy places the organism in Eukaryota, Metazoa, Chordata, Actinopteri, Siluriformes, Ictaluridae.